RNAcentral lists this non-coding RNA (148 nucleotides) under Pan paniscus (pygmy chimpanzee). Lineage: Eukaryota; Metazoa; Chordata; Mammalia; Primates; Hominidae. RNAcentral also lists the same sequence under 1 other name. The record is from Rfam by way of RNAcentral.
GCUGGGCGUGGUGGCGUGCACCUGUAAUCCCAGCUACUCAGGAGGCUGAGGCAGGAGAAUCGCUUGAACCCAGGAGGUGGGGGUUGCAGUGAGCCGAGAUCACACCAUUGCACUCCAGCCUGGGUGACAGAGCGAGACUCUGUCUCAA